RNAcentral lists this non-coding RNA (172 nucleotides) under Keratinibaculum paraultunense. The record is from RNAcentral. Lineage: Bacteria; Bacillati; Bacillota; Tissierellia; Tissierellales; Tepidimicrobiaceae.
UGUAUCGUGAGAUACAGACGAGAAGAAGGGAUAGCAAAAUUGUAGCCUGACGAACAGAAACCUAAUACCAAGGCUUACAUGGUGGAUAAGCGGGCUGAAAGUCGUGAAGUCCAAAAGGCAAUCGUAACCCAUGAAAGUAAAUUAGGCAGGUAGACAAGGAAAGAUUGAUGGC